GUCACAGUCCAUUCCUCUCUCUUUCUUGGAGCACUCACUUUGUCUACGUAAGUAACCCUCACCCUUCUUUAUUAUUAUUUCCACCAAUUCGUUAUCCGUUGCUACAAUUCCUGAUGCAGCAAAUUGAAUUUUGUUCGUUACUAAGGAAAAUUACUUUAUUCAUAUAGAUCUCUGCUAGGGUUCACAUUUGUUUGGUAAUCUCUGCAAGUGCCUCUCUCGUCCUCAUUGCGGUUCACAUUCUCUG
Molecule: unclassified non-coding RNA, 244 nt
Filed under: uncultured bacterium
Lineage: Bacteria
Description: contains 16S-23S intergenic spacer region
Source: RNAcentral